CCGACCGGACUGCUGGAUUCCGCCGUUGGCGGGGCGAGCAGGAGGCGCCGUCUUGGUGGGCGGCCUCGACUAGGCGGACGCCGCCUUCUUCUCCCAGCGCGAGCACCGCUACUGCGGCUGCUUCUGGGCGCCGCUGUGGGCGGCUUCCUCCGUGGAGCUGGUCGGAGCUGGUGGCCGGCCCAUGGUGGAAGACCUUCAUCCGCCAAUUCCGCCGCAGCAGUCCGCGCCACGGGGCCGCCAGCACUGGUGCCGGCGUUGCAGCCGAUGGACGCGGGCGUGGAGGCGGAGCCCUGCCGGGAGUGCGAGUGCCAGGACCGGUCCUCGGUGUCGGCGAAGCGCUGGCUCCGCUCCUCCUCGUUCGAGCUCAGUCUUCAUCCAAUAAUUUGCAUCACUCAACAACCAUCAGCAACCUGAAGACUGAGUUCGUGCAGCUGUUCAGUUCGUUUCAGUUGUGCUAAUGUGCUAGCUUGACUGACGCGCCGUCCAUAGCAGUGCAUAGGAGCAGCAGAACAAACGCAAUGACACUUG
Molecule: long non-coding RNA, 528 nt
Filed under: Setaria italica (foxtail millet)
Lineage: Eukaryota; Viridiplantae; Streptophyta; Magnoliopsida; Poales; Poaceae
Description: long non-coding RNA (SITA_LNC004917)
Source: RNAcentral